This 93-nucleotide transfer RNA is filed under the name Luteitalea sp. TBR-22. RNAcentral's name for it is "Vicinamibacteria bacterium TBR-22 tRNA-Pro". The record is from RNAcentral. Lineage: Bacteria; Pseudomonadati; Acidobacteriota; Vicinamibacteria; Vicinamibacterales; Vicinamibacteraceae.
AUCCUGGGUGCUGCGGCGGGCGGUGGUGGCGCCGCUCGGGGCCGCGCUCGGGCUCGCCGCCCUGCUCCUCGUGUUCGGCUCGGGACCGGGCAC